GUUUGCUUCCUUCGAUUUCUCUCGCUUACUCUCCUUGUGGAGGGCGUAGCUGACCUGCGUGCACAUACACUGACGCAGUGUGUCUGUGCGUGCUGCGUGUGCAAGCGUCGUCACUGUGUGCACAAGGAAUCGCAGAGCUGCUUCCACACACAUACGCACGCGAAUCGGAAAACGAACAUUUUUCACGAGGUCGCUGCUCCAGACAUGUCGUCAUCGCCAUCGUCAUCUCCGCCUCAGGAGCCGCCGCGCGUGCUCUUUCCACAGGAGUGCUCCCAUGACACGCACUGCAUGAGCCACACGGGCAACCUCUACACCGCCCUCAUCACGGGAGGAAGCAGACUGGUGCUGCUGAAGAACGGUGUGGUGCUAGCGCAAAGUUGCCCACUGUUCGACGAAGCGCCGACGGUGGCAGCCGCAGAGACGGCGGUGAGUACCGCGCCCCCAACUACCGAAGCCGCUGCCACCACGACGUCGAGAGGAGCGACAGCCUGCACAAGGGGCGAGUCUGCUCGGGCAUUGCCGGCCUCGGCAUCGCGGGUGUGCGCUGUGUCUGUGUACCAUUUCACCGAUGAUGUCUUGCGCGUUGCCGUAGCCACGACAACGGACGUGGUUUUGUUUGAGUUCGAUGAUGCCGGGCAGCUGUGGCGCGACACCCGUGCAUCUUCGUUUUGGCGAACAGCAGAGGGCGCGAACACUGUGCACGGCAGCGGGAUACCACCGCCGUCCUCUGCCGCCGCGUCGCCGGGCAAGGAUGGAAGUUCAACAAGUCGAUGCACAUCCAUGCAAGGGCGCAGCAACCUUUUCCAAACAUCGAAUGCAUCUUCUUCGUCCGCCGCGGCGAAGGGCUCUGGGCCUAUCACGAGCGGCGGGCAGCCAACUCAGAGGCAGUGCGGUUUCACAGGGCGGUUACGGUGGAGACACGUGACAUUCCGCUUGGGCGCGACGUUGUUGGCCACUCGCCCUGGACUGACCGAGGACGGCAACACUUCCUCCUCUUCGACCGCCCCAUACCCUGGCGCCGCGCCCACCGCUGCGGACGUGAGACUGAGAGGUGCGAGUGCCGCUGCUGCUGCCGUGCCGGUGCGGAUAUCUACGCCCGCACAUCCCUCCGUCGUGCGAGCAGUGGACUUUGUGAGCGCGGACACAUUGUGCAUCGUGCUCGACACAGAGGCGGUUCUGAUCGUGCUCGGUAAUAGCCAUGGCGCGCCGGCGCUCCCCUCUGUUGUGGGUAGCGCAGCUGCUGCCGUGCAGCUGCCGGAUCGCGUAGUGUGGCGCUCCAUGGGCGCCUACCGCAGCCUCGCCGUGUGUCGUGUGAAUCACCACGUUGCCCUCGCAUUGGGCCACGCCACGAUGGUCGUCUUUCCCUCCUGCGUCUUUCCUGCGGAUGAUCAGGUGCCCAUGUCGUCCCCUGCGUCGCCGAGCGUGGUGGACGAGCGCUGCUUCAGCCGCGUCGCGUCCACAGCCGCCCCCUCCCUGUUUUCUACAAACUCCGCAUCAGGCGGCGCACACGUAACCGCGACGGUGGGGAGCCGUGACUUCGCUGUCGCACCAACGCCGGCCUUCUCGCCAACGUCGCGCCCGACCUUGGUCGGGGGCUUUGCUGAAACGCCUGGCCAACCUACAACGACGUCUGGAGCGUCCGCGUCGCCCGCGGCCGGGGCGUACACGACCCUGGCAGAGCGCGCUCUCACCACCUCGGUCGGCAUCUACCACAUCACUGACAUGCAGUGGCACUGUGUCUCAUCGCACACGCUGCUAUGCGUCACGUGCACGCACCCGCAGGAGGAGACGGCAUACAUGAUGUUGUACACAGUGCAGUCACUGUCGAGCGUGCGGCGGUACACAAAUGUCAUGAGAGAGCACGCCGAUGGCGGAUGGGGCCCGUGCCGAGGCGGGUACGAGGGCGAGGAGCUCGACAUCGCCGACGCAAGCCUCCGCUUGUCUGGCAGGAGCGUCAAGAACAUUGUGCAGCUGGUCCCCGCCGGUGUGAUUGCGCUAGCCUACACCCCUUCUUUACGGAUGGCCGGGCAGCACGCGUACCCGUGCACGAACGGCAACACCGCAUUCCUUGUUGGGAACGCAACAUCUCCGGCGUCCACAGCCGACACGCCGCUGCACCCUCCCUCGCUGCAACCCGAGACACCAGACGUUGCGGCGCUCUCUGUCAGUACGGUGGCCGGGACGACGUGGGGAGGGGCGCCGCCGCCGCCCAUUGCCGAGAUGCAUACGAGCCUUGUCCCAAACUUCUCGCAUUCUGCUGAGGCCAACUCGAUGAGCAGCCGCAUGGAGUUUGUGCACGUCGAGGGUGACGGCACUGUGCGGACGUCGAGUUACGCGUUUGGGCGACAGAAGCACGCAAGUUUUGCCAAGCAGCGCGCCGUUGGGCUGGCUUGUAGGGAGCUGCUGCAGCCUCUCCUGCGCCUUUACGGCUCCCUGGUGAAGGUCACGGUUCUGCCACCGUGGCGUACGCGACCCAUCGAGCUCGGGCACGACACCAGCAAGCAGCCGUGCGCGGUGGAGCUGAUGCUCGGCGCGGCGCGGCGGUAUCGAAUGGUACUGCGCUUCACGAGUGGGGUGGUGCUAGCGGUGAUGGUGGACCUCUCCGCCGCCGUGUAUCGGGUGGAGUGCUUCCUGGCUUUGGGCUGCGCGCCGUUGUUGUCGCUGCGGACCGUGAUGCCUCUGGCAGAGGCGGAAAAGGCGCAGGGGCAGCCGCCGCCGCCGUCAUCUGUUUGGAACCCCGCGGGCUCGUCGACGAUCCUCAUCGCCGGCUUGCUCGGUUUCCCCACACCUGCGCUGCUGAUUCCAUCCGAGACGCCGCUGAGCUUGCCGAAGGCCCCUGCAUCGUUUCUGGAAGGUGGAGAGGAGGGCGCUGAAGACUUGGGGGCCGUGCAGCGGGCUGGUGGCUCUAUCUCGGCCGAUUCGGCAGCCGUCACGCGCACCGCCUCCGCCACCUCAUCACACAACGCUGCUCACGACGCUUCGAACUCCGUGGCGGCUGCGAUGCCUCCUCGGACCGUGUGGGCUGUGGUGCUGCUGCAGGUAGAGCCCUCUGGUAUGCAGGCGCGAGUGCUCACGGCGGCGCCGCUCACCGAGGUGCACAUCCCUGGCGUCUCGUUGAUGGCAGGUGCUCACGAUGGGGGCGGCGGCGGUGGUGGCGCGCAGAGCGCACGCCCGCCGCCGAGUGCGCCGACGGCUGCGAGUGCGGGCUCCAUGUCCGCGAGGGAUGCACCGCCAAUGCCACUGACAGCCGCCUCGACCGCUGCAGCAGCGGGCUGUGCGGCACAGGUGACGGAGGACGACGUCGUCUCCUUCAUGACUCUCAAGUGCCCGGAGAAACUUCGCUUCAUGCCGGCACUGCUGAAGGCGGCUCAGCAGGACGCGGGGCGCUUGAUGGCACAACUCAUUGCCAAGUACGGGACUGCGGAGGAGAGCGGUGAAGCCGUCGGCGUCGCCCAAGCGUCAGAGAAGGAGGCCAGGGCGGAUGACGGGGAGGUUGAGGCGGUGCCGGUCAUGUCUCGCUCCCACCCCGUUGUGCGUAGUCUUUCGGUGCUGACCAGUGGUUGCAUUGGUGCCGGAGGUGAGGUGCUGCUGCUGGUUCGCGCGAACGCGCUCUGCGGCGGCAACAGUGAGGGAGGCGAGGGCGGUGGUGCUGCGGCGCUAAUUCGACUCCGUCCACCAUGCCUCGAGGCACUUGCCCCGGUGCACCACCUCGUGGCUGCCGGCGGCUGUUACAUCCCUUUCGAGCCCAUUGUGGCCGAGUAUGUGCCGGUGCUUGCAGAGGUGCAGCAGCGGUGGUGGUCAGAGCCGCUACGGCCAGCCCAACUGUCUUCGACGUGCGGAGCUACAUCACCAAGACACUUGGAGGGCUCGGUGCAGGAUGUUCGAGAGGCUCUGCGCGCCUGCCAGCGUGUCUCCGCCGCGGCGGAGGGGGCGGCGGUGGUGCAGUGCCAGGUUGUACCGAGAUCGCCCGGGAUAGCGUACGUUCGCGUACGCACUCCCCUGUCGCCGGACACCGGCGAGGCGGAUGCGCCGACGGCCCUGCAGUGCCUUUCGCUGCCCUCGACGAUCGACCCGAAGAGCAUCACACGCGUGAUCGGCGCCCUGCUAGUGAACAACGAUGUUGUGAUCGGUGUGCUCUGCCGCACCGCAGGGGACAGCAAUGCCGCUUCCUCCGUCUUGUAUCUCUACGGUUGCCCAGCUGUUCAGUCGCUCGCGGCGCCUGGGGCAGCUGCCGCUGCUGCUACGGCGAAGCCGAGCGACAACGCUGGCAUGGCGGCGACUUGUCUCGCUUCAGGCUCUUCCGCGUUUACGCUUGAGGCAACGCUGCCCGGAGUGGACGCCUUCGACCUCAGCGCAAGUGGCGAAGCCGUGCUGCUGCGACGGUGGCCGGCCCAGGUGGGUAUGCCACCACCGUCGGCAGAGAGCGCCGCCGUGCAGGGGUCGCGGUUCGAGCGCUGGCUGCGCUGCUUUCCCAAAGAGAGCGACAGCGGCUAUUCCUACGUCCAGGACUGCACGUGGUGUCCGCCGUGCGGCACCACCGGCGGGCUGCUCGGAAUCGGUGGCCGUGGCUCGGCAGUCGCACCGGAAACGGUGACGGCUCUUAUGACUCUGGACGUGGCGGGGGCGUGGGAGGCAAACACCGUGGGCCUCUCGGUAGCAGAAGCGGCAAGGCUGGGCAGAAGCCGCACGUCCACCUGCCACGUACUCUACGCGACUACCAGCAACUCCUUCAUUCAUGUCCGCCAACUCCCGUUGCGCAGCAGCGGCGCCGCAGCGAGCGCGUCUGGCAGCUCAUCAGCUUCCGUCGUCGGAGAGGCAGCACUGCCGCAGUAUCAUCCCGAUGCUGUUAUGCAGCUGAUCGGCAUGGCGCGAUGGAACGCGCUGGCGAAGGUGUUGACGUGCGUCGCAGACGCGGUGAGGGCGGUGGUGGCGCCGGUGGGGGCUGACGGAGCAGCCUCGACUGUGGAUGAGUCAUCGAGUGUGAUGCUGUUCGAUCAGCCCCCGGAGGAGCUGGCGCGGCGCUUGUGCACCUCGGCCGUGGCGCGCGACUUUCAUGGCCGUCCGCAGGUGGCGCAGGAAGAGGAGGUGCUGCGUCGGGUAACUCCGCCGCAGCUGUCUGUGGCGGCGUUACGCGACGAAGAGAUGCAGGCCAACGCGAUGGCACCGGCGCCGUCUUCCUCGGCGCCUUGCACGACGGCAGCCGUCCGCCUUUAUGACUUCAGCGCCAUCUGCGGCGCGCUCGUCAGCGAGCUUACCCAACUGCUUCCCCAGGUCACCCUGAGCGGACUGGAUAGCCAAGAGCACCUGAAGUUGCUGUGCAUCUUGCAGGCCUUACGUGACACGUUGCCGCUGAGCCGCAGCGUCGACGAGGCAGCGGCGCGGCAUCUCUUCUACAGUCGCUACAUGGGCCUUGGAAGACGCCUGCGACUGACGAACGUAGACGCACCAGCUGCUGCCGCCACGGACUCGUGCGCCCCCAUCAACUCCGUGUUGCACUUCGAAGUUGACCGCACCGCCACGAGCACCGUCACAACGGCAUCGUAUUUGUGGGCGGCCAUGUCUGACUCGCAGUCGACUCUCCUAUCGCUCUUGUUCGACAAGGCAAGCACGGUGUACGUGGACGGCAGCGCUGGUGGUGCCCUCGGUGCCAGCGGUGGCGGUGGCGGGGGCACGGGGGCGGCAUUGGCGCCGAUCACAGGCGGCGCGUCGGCACAGGACCUGACCUGGGAGCAGGUGAAGCAGUCGGGGGUGGCGUUUUGGCUGCGCUCUGCGGCGGACUUGCGCGCCAUGGCGGACCGCGUCGCUCGCCAUCAGUAUCAGUCGACGAAGGAGCUGACCGACUGUGCGCUCAUGUACUGCACGGCUCGCAAGGCGGGCACGCUGGCGGCGCUGGCCAAGGCGCAGAACAACCAGAGGCUGCACGCCUUCUUUAGCCGCGACUUUGCAAACAACGAGCACAAUCGUGCGGCUGCCGCCGCCAACGCGUACGCCGCCAUCAGCAAGAACAUGCCGCAGUACGGUGCGGCUUUUUUCCUGCUGGCUGGUGACGUUCGGAGUGCGGUGCAGGUGCUGCUGCAGCGGUGUCGCAACCCGUCCUUGGCCUUGUUCGUGCUGCGAGCAGCCGGCGACGGUCUGGAAGAGCAGCCAUCGGCAGCGGAGACGACUCUGGAGUGGUACAUCGCGCAGCGCACGGCGGAGGCGGAGGUGUGUGGUGCGCUGGACAUGUGGGAGCUGACCUGCCUGAGCUGGCUCGACGUCAGCCCACCGCGGGUGUCGCCUGAAGUGGCGGUGCAGCGACGCGUCCGGGCGCUGCAGCGCAUCGCGGCCCACCCCACCGCGCACCCCGAGGCCCUCUGUGCGCUGCGCUACGCCAGAGACUGCGUGGCCGCCCUCGCCUAUCGCGGUGACCAAUUUCUCUCACCAGCUCGUGAGGUGGUGCUUCUGCUGCGGCUCGGUCGCUACUGCUUGGCGCAUCGACUAAGCCUGAAUGGCUACCUGCACUACCACGACGCGGAGGCGCUGCUGAGGGGGCUGCGGGCAGAGGCAGCAGCGGCGGCGUGCUCUGGUACGCUGCAACGCACAAGUAAUGGUGGGGAUAAGUCUCGCAGAGCACCGCCGCAGACGCCGAAAAUGGCGGCCGACUUCAACACCGGAACGCUUCUCUUUCGUGGGUUUGAUGGCAGCGACGACGACGACGAGGGCGGCAGCGACGACGGUGGAGCUUUCGCGCAUGCACGACAGGGCAGUUCCUCCUCCGCUGUGGGCGUCAGCAGCGCUGACGCCUCUUCGCCAUUAUUCACGCUGUCCGAUGGGGCGGCCGCUGCGGUGGAGGCGGAGGUGCAGUACGUGUACGCCCGCACCGGCGCUAUAGUGCGGCCAGGCAGUGACGCUGCAAGUAGCGCGGGUGCUACUGCGCACGCUGGCGAGUGCGAGGACAUUUUGCGCCGCAUGCUGCUGAGCUUUACCACUGCUUCGCCCUUCAUGAUGACGUCGAACGUGGCGGCUGCCGAUGGUGGCAGCAGGGCAGCGGAAACCGUGCUGAUGCCGUCGCUUGCCAUGUUGCCCUUGUCCUCAGAGCCGUCCUCGGUCCGGGCCAACCCGCACGCGCCAUUCCAGCAGCUGCUGACAUCGCUGCUACAUCGUUUAUCGGCCGUGGAGGUCAAUGCGCAGCAGGAACGUCGUGCGACGGCGGGCAAGCCAAGCGUCAGUAACGGCGCCGCAAGCGGAAUCGCGAACGUUGCCCAGGGUUGUUCACCAGUAGUGGUACUGCCACAAAUGCAGCCAGCAGGGACUUCGCUUUCUUCGGCAGUGGCGGCUGCUGUGCCGUCUUUGAGUAUCGCCACCCCUACAGCCGCAGACGGGGGCUGGCACGCCCUGUGCGUGCCCCUGCUUCACUUCCUCCUGAGCAGUGUGGCGUUGCAUUGCGCUAACUAUAUCGUGCUGCUCGCCCUCCAGCGUGUCCCCGUCUCCACGGAAGGGGUGCUGAAGGCCGCGAUGCAGGCGAAGCUUCUGUCGGACGACGGUGACGCGCUGCAAGGAGCCGGCGACACCCCUCCCCCCGCUGCUGAUGCUGCUACGGUGGCACCGCCGCUCGCUGCGCCACUAUCCCCGUUGCACCGUCCUCUGAUUGCCUUUUUCCAUCUUCUUCUGCACCAUAUGAGACGGCACUACCGUGACGCAUGGGCGGCUGACGGCGGUCGCCUCGGUGGUGGGCAGGCAUCCACGUCACCGAGCCACCAUCUGGAGGCAUGCGGCGGCAAGGGUUGUGUGUGGGGAGUGACCAACGACGAUGACACGGAAGUGAUGGCGGAGGAGGAUGGCGCAAUGCGCGGCGGCAGCGAGGACGGCGGUCAGGUCUAUCGGAGCAUGUUCGACGCGCUUCUUGCUGCUGCGACCGCAGCGGAGGAGUCCAAUAAUUGUGCGACGCGGGUGGUUAGGACGUCCUGCAGUGCAGGGACAAACUGGAGCAGCUUUCGCGCACGGGCCGACGCGGAUGGCGCCACCAUCGAUGCCGACGCACCUGGCGACUCGAUGCCGCUGCACCUUGCAGACUCGGCUCAGGUGUCGCUGCUGCUUUCGUGUUGCCAGGCCCAGCUACACUUGCGGCUUAUGGAGCACCUCAAGCAGCUGACACGGGCGGAGCUGGACUCGGAGGUGAUUACGCCAACCGCGCAGCGCGCCAUGGACGCCGGGAUCCUCUAUGCCGAUGCGCUCUCCCUGGAGGCGAAGGCGGCGCUGGUGCAGCGUCGCAUACUGCACUGCACACUGCUGCUAGACGUGACGUCCCGUUGGAGCACGCUCUCGGAGGAGUGCAUGAUGCGCAUCUACGCAGCGCAGCCGCAGUACGCGCCCGGUCCUUUGACGGACCCCAAUGGCGUUUUCCUAGAAGUGCAGCAGACGGUGAGGCUGAUGCAUGCGGUGUUGGUGGCGGUGCUGGACGCUCCGCCGAGAUAUAUGCAGGCAAGCACUUCUCCGGCGACAGCGGAGGCCUCAGCGGCAGCCGAAUGUGGUGGUGCAAAAAUGGCUGCACACCGUGCGCCGUUCGAUCCUGUGACGCCGCCGCCGCUGCCCAAGUCGUCGACCUCGUGGUUAGAGGACAACACACUCACGAUGCUAGAGCUGUGUGCGACACAGCUGGAGCUGUUCUGGACGCUGCCGGCGCCGACACUGGCACAGUGCUGUCAGCUAGCAGCACCGACCCGCGCGGCGCUGGAACUGCUGCAGGAGUCUACUGCGUCACACACGUCGGCGCGAGCGCUGCUGGAGUGCAUGCUGCGCCCAGUGAAGUUAGCAGCAGAUCCCCUGGCGGAGCACAAUCGUCUCGGCAACGCAGGCACGCCUUUCAACGACGCCGCCUCCGCCUCCCAGGGCCUCUUCGCCUUUUCAGCUGCAGCGACACCGGUCUCCUCGUCGCACAUGACACGGACGGCGUCUCCCUGGGCACCUGACUUUACACCGUCGCCGGAUGAACCGCAGCAGCGUAACGGCCACACCGAGGUGUACUGCCCCGCACUCUCUUACAUGCAACUGGCGUGGAUGCGGCGGCACCACACGCACGCACUGCUUCGGGGGCUGCUGCUCAUGGUGACGCUGAAUUGCGGUCAGGGACAGGGCCAACGUCCUGUCAGCACCGACCGCCUUAUCCUUGCUCAACACAACCACAGUGUCACCGGGGUCCACUUCGACGCCUCCAGCUGCGACAGCGUGGUGUGGACGACUGAAUCCGGCACCUCGGUUGGUCACGGCUUCCGCGAACUCCUCGCCGGGGACAACGAGGAGGCGCUGUGGAAGCAGGCAACGGAGCGAAACUUGGCGACGGCCGCCUUUACUCUUGGGCUGACCGCACAGCACGAGCGGCUGCGCUUGGCGGCGGAGCACGCGGAGCAGCAGUACACACCCGCUGUCAUCGCAGCGGUGGCAGCCAAGUCAGCGCUCGAGAGCCGACCGCGGCUUGGCGAGGCGGCCAACGCGAUGCCGUCCAGCCACCCGCACCUGCCGUUCUUUGUCUCUCGGCACCUCGACGGACACCUCGACCUCUACCCCUUCGCGUCUCAGGAGUGCGUGGCGAGCUUCCGCUGUGCGGCGCGUCACGGCCAAAGCGCGAUGGGGCGUAGCGGCGGCGUUGGCACCAGCCACAGCAGCGCAUGCGUAUGGCGAGCGUGGGGAGUAGCGGCGGGGCCCACCGCGGCCGUACCGGCACACAGCGCGCGGCUGGCUUGCUCUGCAGUUGGUGCAGCUGUGUCCUCGUCGCUCGACCGCGACGACGGCUACGCCGUCACCCCCGUUGCCUUCUCCCCCAACGGCUACAUCGUUGCCGCGGGCCUCUCGGACGGCUCCGUGGCGGGCUGGCGCUUUGCCGCGGCGGCCGUGGAGAGCCCGCCGGCGUUCUCCUUUCCGCCGCUGUUCACCCCCUCCGGCAUACGCAGCUGCACGUUCUGUGGUGAUCGGAGCUCGCUGAUGGUGGUGGUCGGGGUGGCCAAGGAGCCGCACCAGUAUCGGCACGGCUACGCGACCGCUGACUCGACGUCUUCUCUUGGCAUCAGUGCAGCCACACCACUCUCUGCACUCGCUCCUCCCUUGGUGCCCUCGUCUGUCGCAGCGGCCCCCGCCUCCGCAUCCACCACGUGGCCCAGCACAGCUGCGAGUUUCGAUGCUGGAGAGAUGGUGGGCGAGAUGCUGAUCCUUGAUACCAUGCUGGGCGCCGGUGCCAUCACGGCUCGGUGCGCGCUGCCCUUCAUACCCUCCUACGCUGUCUACAUCGCGUCUCUGCGAGCGGUGCUGAUGGUGUCCUUGGAAGGCAUGCUGGCCACGUACGCGGUGGCAACGGGCAGGUUAGCCGUACUGGGCACGGUGCCCGUUACGACGGUGCUGCGGUCUGCGCUGGGGCCGUCGCUCGGCGCCGACUGCGGUGAUGCCGGCGCGGGUGCCGCGUCGUCUAGGAGCGGUGCAACGGACAGUGAUACGGUGUACAUCACAUGUGUGGCGCGCAGCAGCUACGACCCACUCGUUGCACUCGGCGUAUCCAACGGCCUGGUACUGCUGCUGCACUUCCGCAGCAUCAGUGCGGCGAUGGCACGGACGGAGCGGCGCAUCCGAGACGAGGGCGAGGACACGUUUGUGUAUUACCCACCACGCGCGUUUUCCGCCGGCUCCGACACAACCGAGAGCCGCCGCAGCAAGCGCAAAGUUGCUCAGCAAACGAAGAGUGGCGCGGUUGCAUCGGCCAGCGCGACGGCGCGGGUGACGAGCGAGGUGGCGGCGCCGGCGAUGGGCAAGGAGUUUCUCGCACGGCUUCCAGAAAAAACGGUGUUGAGUGAGGCAACGUACAUGCAGGUGGCGCCGCACAUCAACACCCGCAGCGCCAUCGUAGAUCUCGUGUUUAGUCCGUCGAUGCUGCUGGCCGGGUUGCAAGAUGGGAAGGUGAUGGCGGCCUCGCUCAUCGCGCACGCGACUCGAGCGCGUCUCACGGCCGGCUGUACGAUCCCGAGCGAUCUACUAGAGUGUCCGUGAAGCCUGAGUGUGUCUGCACGCAAGAUUCUCGUGUGGAGACAAAACCUUUAAGUUACAUGAAUGCCGUGCGAGGCCCUUGUGCACGCAUGUCUCUCUCCCAUUCCUUUCCGACGUUUCUAUGUGCGCGUGUGUGCGGGCAUAUGCGCGCAAAAAAGAAAACGCGAGAGACCCCGGAAGCGCACCCAACACCACCAACGGAUGCGAUGUGUGCCGUAUCGCGAGGCGAUAAAUCGCCGAGCCCGCAUAGGGCCUUUUACGGGUAUUGCUGCGGACAUGCUUCUCGACGCACGCACGAGUUGCCCCCCGCCCCUAACACGCACGUGCAAAGACAUAAAGGCACACAGCAAGCAACACAGAGACACACUUUAUAUGCGUGGAUGUCUGUGCGCACGCGAGUUAUGUCUCGAUCUCUCUCCCUCCCUCUCUUUACCUUAUGCUUGCUGUUGUGCGUUGCCGUUUCGAAGCUCUUGUUUUCUUUGACACUCACUCGUCCGCCGCCGCCGCCCUCCUCCCCCCCCCCCCCGCUGACACCGUCACCAUCAUAG
Molecule: unclassified non-coding RNA, 11555 nt
Filed under: Leishmania donovani
Lineage: Eukaryota; Euglenozoa; Kinetoplastea; Trypanosomatida; Trypanosomatidae
Description: gene:LdHU3.07.0490(CDS-product:RAVE_protein_1_C_t erminal_putative)
Source: RNAcentral